RNAcentral lists this ribosomal RNA (496 nucleotides) under uncultured bacterium. Its description in RNAcentral is "partial 16S ribosomal RNA". It matches the Rfam family "Bacterial small subunit ribosomal RNA", at positions 28 to 506 of the family's 1533-position model. The record is from RNAcentral.
GAUGAACGCUGGCGGCGUGCCUAAUACAUGCAAGUCGAGCGAACAGAUGAGGAGCUUGCUCCUCUGACGUUAGCGGCGGACGGGUGAGUAACACGUGGAUAACCUACCUAUAAGACUGGGAUAACUUCGGGAAACCGGAGCUAAUACCGGAUAAUAUAUUGAACCGCAUGGUUCAAUAGUGAAAGACGGUUUUGCAGUCACUUAUAGAUGGAUCCGCGCCGCAUUAGCUAGUUGGUAAGGUAACGGCUUACCAAGGCAACGAUGCGUAGCCGACCUGAGAGGGUGAUCGGCCACACUGUAACUGAGACACGGUCCAGACUCCUACGGGAGGCAGCAGUAGGGAAUCUUCCGCAAUGGGCGAAAGCCUGACGGAGCAACGCCGCGUGAGUGAUGAAGGUCUUCGGAUCGUAAAACUCUGUUAUUAGGGAAGAACAAAUGUGUAAGUAACUAUGCACGUCUUGACGGUACCUAAUCAGAAAGCCACGGCUAACUACGU